CAGCAGCCGCGGGAAUACGUAGGGUGCAAGCGUUAAUCGGAAUUACUGGGCGUAAAGCGUGCGCAGGCGGUUAUAUAAGACAGAUGUGAAAUCCCCGGGCUUAACCUGGGAACUGCAUUUGUGACUGUAUAGCUAGAGUACGGCAGAGGGGGAUGGAAUUCCGCGUGUAGCAGUGAAAUGCGUAGAUAUGCGGAGGAACACCGAUGGCGAAGGCAAUCCCCUGGGCCUGUACUGACGCUCAUGCACGAAAGCGUGGGGAGCAAACAGGAUUGGAUACCCGAGUAGUCCCUGUCUCUUAUAC
RNAcentral lists this ribosomal RNA (301 nucleotides) under uncultured bacterium. RNAcentral's name for it is "partial 16S ribosomal RNA". It matches the Rfam family "Bacterial small subunit ribosomal RNA", at positions 509 to 807 of the family's 1533-position model. The record is from RNAcentral.